UCGUAACAAGGUUUCUGUAGGUGAACCUGCAGAAGGAUCAUUAGUGAAAGUUUCGGGCCUGCCAUACGGACGCAAACACGUCUCUGGCGCCCAUCACUAUAUCCAUACCAACCCCUGUGCACUGUGAUGACGAAUGUCAUCGAACAAAAAAAACUCGUAUGGUUGAAUGUACGUGAAAUUGUAGGUAUAGCCUACGAACUAUACACAACUUUCGACAACGGAUCUCUUGGUUCUCCCAUCGAUGAAGAACGCAGCGAAACGCGAUAGGUAAUGUGAAUUGCAGAAUUCCGUGAAUCAUCGAAUCUUUGAACGCACCUUGCGCUCCAUGGUAUUCCGUGGAGCAUGCCUGUUUGAGUGCCGCGAAUUCUCCCUCCCCUUACGGUGGCCGAAAGGCCGAAGUAGGGCGGACGGGGUAGGAUGGGUGUUGCUGCCUGGGGAUUGUACCAGGCUCGCCCGAAAUGCAUAAGCGCCAGGACCCUCGCUACCGCUCUCUAGGGAAGAGUGGCUAAGCGACCGCUGAGCAUGGCAUGAUACGUCAUUUGCUGUGUGUGGGCGGCCGGUUGGAGAGGUGUCUGCUUUACCAGCCCUUUUUUAAUUCUGGUCUCAAAUCAGGUAGGAUCACCCGCUGAACUUAAGCAUAUCAAUAAGCGGAGGA
This 655-nucleotide unclassified non-coding RNA is filed under the name Malassezia sympodialis. RNAcentral describes it as "sequence contains 18S rRNA gene, ITS1, 5.8S rRNA gene, ITS2, 28S rRNA gene". The stretch from base 207 to 360 matches the Rfam family "5.8S ribosomal RNA". Lineage: Eukaryota; Fungi; Basidiomycota; Malasseziomycetes; Malasseziales; Malasseziaceae. The record is from RNAcentral.